RNAcentral lists this long non-coding RNA (390 nucleotides) under Musa acuminata (dwarf banana). RNAcentral's name for it is "long non-coding RNA (MACU_LNC002385)". The record is from RNAcentral. Lineage: Eukaryota; Viridiplantae; Streptophyta; Magnoliopsida; Zingiberales; Musaceae.
CCCGAGCGAGAAGCGAUCGUUGCCCCUUUGCUGUCGCCGACGGCGAGGUAGCCCGCUACCUCCGCCUCUGCCGCCCCAUGGAGAAGAGGAGCCCUCCCUUCCUCUGCUCCGUGGGACGGCAGAGGCGUAGGCAGUAGGCUGCCUUGCUGUCGGCGACUCCCUUCCUCUGCUCCACGGGGCAACAGAGGCGUAGGUAGUGAGAUGUCUUGUUGUCGGCGACGGCAAAGGGGCAACAGUCGCCUCUCACUCAGGCGAAGGUGAGGGGCGCAAUGGGGAAGAGUGGACCUCAGCGACGGAUAGGGGAGCAGGAGCGGAGGCGUCGGCGACGGGAAGGGAAAGGUAUGUUUUGGAAUUACAGAAAAAAUGGGUAUUAUUAGGAAAAACGAAAAC